Molecule: ribosomal RNA, 497 nt
Filed under: uncultured bacterium
Lineage: Bacteria
Description: partial 16S ribosomal RNA
Rfam family: Bacterial small subunit ribosomal RNA
Source: RNAcentral
GAUGAACGCUGGCGGCGUGCCUAAUACAUGCCAGUCGAGCGAACAGACGAGGAGCUUGCUCCUCUGACGUUAGCGGCGGACGGGUGAGUAACACGUGGAUACCCUACCUAUAAGACUGGGAUAACUUCGGGAAACCGGAGCUAAUACCGGAUAAUAUAUUGCACCGCAUGGUUCAAUAGUGAAAGACGGUUUUGCUGUCACUUAUAGAUGGAUCCGCGCCGCAUUAGCUAGUUGGUAAGGUAACGGCUUACAAAGGCGAGGAUGCGUAGCAGACAUGAGAGGGUGAUCGGCCACACUGGGACGGAGACACGGUCCAGACUCCUACGGGAGGCAGCAGUAGGGAAUCGUCCGCAAUGGGCGAAAGCCUGACGGAGCAGCGCCGCGUGAGUGAUGAAGGUCUUCGGAUCGUAAAAAUCUGUUAUUAGGGAAGAACAAAUGUGUAAGUAGCUAUGCACGUCUUGACGGUACCUAAUCAGAAAGCGACGGCUAACUACGUG